Molecule: long non-coding RNA, 536 nt
Organism: Hibiscus syriacus
Lineage: Eukaryota; Viridiplantae; Streptophyta; Magnoliopsida; Malvales; Malvaceae
Exons: 3
Source: RefSeq, a predicted model, not a curated record
ACAGGUUUUCAAUUUGCAGAAAACUUCAUUAGGCAAUCAGAUCAGACACUUCUACUACAUAGUUAGGUCAAGAAGAAUAAGCUUACACAGGUGUUUCUUCAUCUUCCACCAUUAAUGCAAACACCAAUUUCCUAACAGUGGAGAGACCAAGUUGCCACCUACCUUGGUGGGAUCUCAAUAUUCAUUGUUUUAUGGCUGCUGUGUUGUCCCUUGGAAUUGGUAUAGCAAUUGUGCCUCGACAAGUGAUGCCGUGGACUGGUUUACUCUUGAUGUAUGAGUGGACGUUUACGAUCUUCUUUCUUUUGUUCGGAGCUUUUAUUCAUUUGAUUUAUAAGUGGGGAAGGAGAACUGCCACUCGAUUAGGAUCAGUUUCCUCUUAUACUGAUUCUUUUGAUUCUGAUUCUCAAAAAGGUCAUCAGCCGCAUGCAUCCUUUGUGAUGUUGCUACUUGGUACUACCGGUUCGGGAUGGCAUUUUUGGCUAUCGCCGCCCCAUCUUUACCAUGUAUUUUUGGGUUCACUGCUCUGUUCUUAAGGU